UUCCAUGACCCGCAGUUUAUACCAUUUAGGAGCAAGACAGCCUGAUCUCCCAAGAUCCACAAGGAGAUCAUCAGAAGAAUCUCAAGAUGCCUGUGAUGAUGUGGACAUCGGCUCAUCCUUGUGCUGGAUGAGAGAAAACUGGAACACUGUGAUUGACUCAGUCAAAGUUGGAAAAUGCAAGUACUGAAUGGCUCAGCCUCUCCUAUGUCUCAUGCUCAAUGGAGCAGCCUCCCUGCCAGACCCGGAACUGAUGUGGUUCAUCUUCAGAAAGCUCACAUUUGCCAGUCUGCUGUCCAAGGGGGUCUCUGUGUGAUUCCUACAACCUCCUCACUGGAUAUCACUAGUGUUUAAGAGCAUCCUCACUGUCUAGUAAAAUCCAAUCUUAUAAAACUG
This 393-nucleotide long non-coding RNA is filed under the name Rattus norvegicus (Norway rat). RNAcentral's name for it is "long non-coding RNA NONRATT014098". Lineage: Eukaryota; Metazoa; Chordata; Mammalia; Rodentia; Muridae. The record is from RNAcentral.